Molecule: ribosomal RNA, 494 nt
Filed under: uncultured bacterium
Lineage: Bacteria
Description: partial 16S ribosomal RNA
Rfam family: Bacterial small subunit ribosomal RNA
Source: RNAcentral
GACGAACGCUGGCGGCGUGCUUAACACAUGCAAGUCGAACGGUGAAGCGCCUUCCUUUUUGGUGGGUGUGGAUGAGAGGCGAACGGGUGAGUAACACGUGAGUAACCUGCCCCCUUCUACUGGAUAACCGAACGAAAGCGUGGCUAAUACGGGAGAUUCUGGGUCUGUCGCAUGAUGGGUCUGGGUAAGAUAUUGUUUCGGUGGGGGAUGGGCUCGCGGCCUAUCAGCUUGUUGGUGGGGUGAUGGCCUACCAAGGCUGUUACGGGUCGCCGGCCUGGGAGGGUAGACGGUCUCACUGGGACAGCGGCACGGCCCAGACUCCGACGGGAGGCAGCAGUGUGGAAUAGUGCACAAUGGGCGCAAGCCUGAAGCAGCGGCGCCGCGGGAGGGAUGGAGGCCUUCGGGUUGUGAAGCUCUUUCGCCAGUGAAGCAGGCCUGCCUCGUUUGUGGGUGGGUUGACGGUAGCUGGUUAAGAAGCGCCGGCUAACUACGUG